Molecule: ribosomal RNA, 181 nt
Filed under: Pseudomonas aeruginosa
Lineage: Bacteria; Pseudomonadati; Pseudomonadota; Gammaproteobacteria; Pseudomonadales; Pseudomonadaceae
Also listed under: 8 other names
Description: partial 16S ribosomal RNA
Rfam family: Bacterial small subunit ribosomal RNA
Source: RNAcentral
UUAUUGGAGAGUUUGAUCCUGGCUCAGGAUGAACGCUGGCGGCGUGCCUAAUACAUGCAAGUCGAGCGAAUGGAUUGAGAGCUUGCUCUCAAGAAGUUAGCGGCGGACGGGUGAGUAACACGUGGGUAACCUGCCCAUAAGACUGGGAUAACUCCGGGAAACCGGGGCUAAUACCGGAUAA